UUGAGAAAAGCUAAAUAGACACACCAUUCUGACGGGUGUUUUAUGCUGUCAACGCCAGGCGCAUCUUCUUUUCACAUAAAAUAUUGAAUAAACACAAGUAGUCAUGUCCGUAUUUAGGGUAAGAAAAGCCUAUGAAGUGAGAAAUAAAAUAAAUAAUUUAGAUCGAGCGUAGGACAAGCAUGUUAGCAUAAAUACGCUAAAAAUAUUUAUAUAUUCAUUCGACCUACCAGAAAAGUGAAUUAAUAUUUAUUUGAUUUUGAUCACAAAAGUAUAAAGGAUAAUGUCCGCGACAGAAGGAAAACCACAUAACAUUCAACAUUGCCAUGGACUAUUUCAUGUGAAAUCUCCGCCGGAACCAUCUCACGAAGUAAAAGAUAAUGAAGGGGAACACUGUCACGGGAUGUUUCACUCAAGUUGGCCAUGGACAGUUUUAGCGAUGUGCCUUUUCUUGCUUGUAUUCGCUUAUGUUAUGAUGAGAUACACAGAUCGGUGUCCACGGAGAUUGAACAUUAUAAAGGGGUGUCGCAAACGUCGAAACUCCAUUUGUGAAGAGGAAGUAUGAGUCAGGAUGUAUAGAAGAUUUUAAAGAAAAUGUACAAGAACUAUCAAACUACAAACGUCUGAUAUUCGAAGAAACAUGGAUUACGUCUUAUUAUAAUGAUUUAGAACAGGGGUCUCCUACUCAAAAUAUCUCGCGGGCCACUUUUUUGAAAUUUAUUGACGACGCGGGCCGCAAACUAACAAAUUAUAUACAAAAUUGUUAUACAAAAGUUAACAAAGUAAAUCUGAAUAUAUUUGUUGAAAUUACCCUUGAAUCUUACACCAAGCGAGACAUGAAACAUAUUCGUUUACAUAUUCGUGUUGGUUCUUUGGCUCCGUUUUGAAGCGGUAAAAUACUUGAUGUUAGGCCUUAUUUUGCGUUGGUUUGCUGGUUUGCUUUGAUCGAAUCUUCACAAGUUUUGUUUAUGUCUGAGAAAAAUUUCUCUGUUUCAUCAGUGAAAAUUUUAUUUGCGAUACCUUUUCGUGGCGAAUUGUUCCAGUAUGAACAUGGUAUUUUCCCUUGUGUAAUGAUCCAUAAGUUUAUAAUAAUAUAGUUUUGCGUUAACUACACAUGUAUAUGAUUCAUAAUCAACUAAUGAUUCACAACUGCACACUUCCGUGACCUGAACGAAACUUGUUUAUUUCGUUAUAAUAAAAACGCGAAAUGAAAUGAUUGAAUUUACAAUUUAAAUAUUACAAUAGAAUAAAAUAUGAACGUGGUAAAGUGGAAUAACGGGGGUAUUUUUGUUUUACUUCAACAGUUGGUUGUACCGGACACUUGAUGUUAAAUAACACGAUAGAACUCAUAGUUGACAUCAUACUAUUUUAGUUUUUUCUGGAAAAACCUUAACCAAACGCGGGCCGCAAAAAUUUCUUUGCGGGCGCGUGUUGGAGACCCUGAUUUAGAAUAAGGAAUUUCUAAUCUUUUAACUUUCUUAUCUAUUUUUGUCAAGAAUUUACUUUUCGAAUACAAAAUAUAUAUGCUAUUCUGGUACCAAAUACAUAAGCUUUUAUUGACAAAAUAUUUCUAGCGAUAUAAAUUGACACUUUGAAAAGGCCAA
This is a long non-coding RNA of Styela clava, 1601 nucleotides long. RefSeq lists it as uncharacterized. The record is from RefSeq and is a predicted model, not a curated record. Lineage: Eukaryota; Metazoa; Chordata; Ascidiacea; Stolidobranchia; Styelidae.